UAGUGAGUAGUAUAGAGGAAGUACGGAGGAUUUUGAUUUCUCAGGUGCAGGUUCAAUUCCUGUCUUUCUAA
RNAcentral lists this transfer RNA (71 nucleotides) under Dyscophus antongilii (tomato frog). RNAcentral's name for it is "tRNA-Gln". It matches the Rfam family "tRNA". Rfam says of the family: Transfer RNA (tRNA) molecules are approximately 80 nucleotides in length. Their secondary structure includes four short double-helical elements and three loops (D, anti-codon, and T loops). Lineage: Eukaryota; Metazoa; Chordata; Amphibia; Anura; Microhylidae. The record is from RNAcentral.